RNAcentral lists this non-coding RNA (26 nucleotides) under Mus musculus (house mouse). Lineage: Eukaryota; Metazoa; Chordata; Mammalia; Rodentia; Muridae. The record is from RNAcentral.
UGCUAAAAGACCCUCGCUCACAAAAA